GCAGGCAGUAUUUAUGAUUAUAUCGAAUGUAGGUAGGUAUUUUUGUUUUGGGUUGUUUUAUGCUGCUCAAUCUUUCAUUUCUCGUAUAUAGUAUAUAGUAGUAUAGCAUUUUAAAUGAAAAUGAAAUGAAGUUAAGUAAGACUAAGGGUACGAGUAUCAAAAGCAGGUACCUAUUCGAAUUCGGCUUUAUUUAUCUGAAUAGUUUUCUCGAGUUGUAAUAAUUUUACUCUACCCAUACGUCUAUAAAACAAUGUGAUAUUUCAGGUUUUCGUAUAUAAUAUAUUCCUGACGACAUAGACAAAGAUUUAUACGCCGGUACACUGUCACCAAUCAAGAAGUCAUAAGUAAUAGCUCUCUUUGUGCGCAUACUAUAUUUCAGUUAAUAUAGGAACUAUCUACAAAAGUUCAGCUACGAUAUCCUGAGUUGCACCAUAAACACACGUUUUGCACCUCCAGAUAAACGUCAAUUCGUAUCUUUACUGCGCAAGUGCGCAAUCAAUUACCGGAGCCCUAAGGCCAACGCAACUCGUAUGAACUUGAAACCGCAAUUGGAAAACCACUUAACGACAUUGUCCUUUUGUCGACGGCUUGCAGGUGCGUGGUGACGUCAGGAUGGCCAUGAGAAUAUCCCGAGAGCUGCCAUUCUCACGCCUGCGCCAACCAGUUCCUCGCCAAACCGAGUGCCGUUAGUUACUGCAACUGCAUGCGUGUUUUAGAUAACCCGUUGUGCUCGACCAUAUAAUGAAACGUCGCUAUUUUAGCAUUUCAGGUCUACACAACCUACCGUUUCUACCUAUAAGCACCGCACAAGAAUAUGACGAAGCCUGUUGCAUAUCGAUAUAAAACACAUUUCCAUAUUUAAGAAAUAAACCUGUUAUUGUAAAAGUAUUCCCAUAAACAAUGUUAAACUUUCUCACGCCAAACACUAAUAUGGAGUCAAGUGUCUGUGAUUGCAGCAAAAUUAAACUGUCAUGUGAUUAAACACCGUCACCCCAUUUGCAUUAGAUAUUACCAUAAAAUCAGUCCCAUGUCGCUGAUUGUUCGGGGGGGUGUGUGUGAAUGGUCUGCCGGAAACGGCUGUGAUGCGUGUAAUCUAUUCCGAUUCCAAAAUAAUGGUGCACAUAGGUGCGACGGUUUGCGCGGCCUCGGCGCCGGCGCACGGAUCGUGUUGUUUACCGUUACAUUGAAUGCAUCGACGUUUAACGAUGCUCGUUCGUUUCAUGCUGCUGCAUUAAACUGAUUUCAUCUGGGAUUCCUCUCAUGAUUUUGGGUUAAUCGAUAUGCAAUUAGCCAGGUUCAUUUUGUAAGCAAGACCACCAACGUUUAAAGGUCGGAUUGAUAGUUUACUUAGGUGUAAUACCAUAUAUCAUUUAGUAAAUUUUACUUUAAGGAUAUUUUUCAAUGAAUUUCUGUGUGUACGUACGAGUAGUAUGUUCCCUGUUCUGUGUGUAUAUAUGUUUAAGAUGUUGCUUAUAUACUGUGGAAGUAGGUUGUGUCUACCUAUAGGCGCAAGCAUGAGGCGGCAAAUAAAGCAGGGACAAAGGCGUUUCAGGCUCGUUAACUUCUUAAUGUCUUGUACCUAAAUUACUGCCGCAAUUUUGAUACACAUCAUAGUGCGAAAAAAAAGAGUUUACACUGCAACCCAAUAUUACAAUAUUUAAGCAUUAAUUUUAACUCAAGUUUAUGAAUUUAAGAAUACGCAGGUAAACUCAAGUAGUCAGCAUACAUUUUUAGAGACGCCAGAAGAAAGGGAAAUAAUUUAUUUACUUCAUUGGAGACCAUAGCCAUAUUGCAGAAAUCUAAGCACACCAAUAGCCCUGUUGAAGCAAUGUUAUCGUGAAAGCGGCAUCAGGCUACUUAAAUACGCACACGAGAUAUUUUCAAAAGUCUUAGGGUGAAAUGGGAGCUUUCGCGUCAGAAUUAACACUCUAUACUUUUCAUUUCGAAUAAGAGGAUAGGAAAAUACAUUUACAUUCUAUCAUAUUUCUUAGGUUUUGAAACGUAUUAUAUUUCAUAUAUUAUGAAAAAAGAUUGAAGUGACAAUUUUAUAAACUUAUAGGAACUUAGGUAUAGGAAUAGUUUGUUAUAAGUAUGUAUAUAAAAAAAACUGCUUAAGAGCAUUUCGGGCUAUUUUGAAAGAACUAUCCAACGACACCCCACACUAUACGCUAAUUUUUUUUUUAGAUUUUAUUUUAUCACUUUGUCGGAUUGAUUGAUUUAAGUACUUAAUAUAUGCAUGCCGAAUUUCAGCUUUCUAGCACUAACGACCACGGAGCAAAAUUUCGGACAGACAUACGGACAUGGCAAAACUAUAAGAGUUCCUAAUUGACUAUGGAAUCCUAAAAAAGAUCGUCAUUUGUGGACUCAAGAGUAUGAGUAUGUAAUAUAAAUCUAUUUUAAACCAUCUGUAGCAAUAAAAAAAAACUCUUUCAGUUCCACAUAUAACAUACUGACGUAAGUAAGAAGGUACAUACAAAUACAUAGUGUGUCUAUUUCAAUUUUUAAGAUAUUUCUCAUUUUUCUUAAAACAAAGCCCUGUAUCAUAGAGAAGGCUGAGGUUUCAGAGUCAGAGUACCGGUGCAGUGUGCACUGAGGGUAAGUUGAUACCUACAGGCCGGCGUCUGGCGGUAACCGGAGCCGGCGCGGUGCUCGGGCGCACCCGUCGCGGCGCGCGCACCGCUCUGCUGGACAGACGGACAGUUCUCUGCACCACAUAAGCCGACAGCCUCUGAACAUUUACAUAUAACAAGCUAUCUGAGAUAACACUGGAUCGCACGAGAGAGUGUUGCCAAGAACUGCCCUGGAUUAACUACCUAUACGGUACAAUUAGUUAGGGAGUUCGCUUGGCAAUCAUAAUUUAAGGAGGCACACCUGCAUUGAGAAUCGUGCUAUAUGAAAACUACGCUUGUGUAAUUUAGAGCCAAGUUGCUGAAAUAAGCACGUCUCAGAAAUAAUCUCGGAAGUCUAAAAUAAUGAUAAGGAAUCUUAACGAUGAAAACACGGUCCACUCGCUUGGAUGCAGUUACUCGAAUAUAGCCUGAUCGCAAGAGUAAUUGGGUAACAGUUGGAAACUCAUAUCGGCCGUUCAAUUACAUUACAGCGCAUGCCCUUAAAAAGUGGAAAGGAGUAAAAAAUCAAGAGCGAGGCGAACAUUACCGGAGCGUUACAGUAAAUUAUUGGUUUGCGAGUAACUGGACGCUGGCAACAGGUGCCUUCCGGAUCCGGACUGCCAGUUAAAGUGCAUAUUUGUUUAGUUAAAUAGGUGCAUAAUGCAUAACUCUAAUUUGAAAAUACAAGUUUAGGUAACAUGUACAAUAUAAUAAAUAUUGGAGGGCAAUUUGACAAAAAAGUGACUACCUAAUGUAUAGACAUUUAAUUCUUCUAUAUCCAUACGUUUCUUUGUGAUACUUAGAUACUGUUUUUAUGUGGUGUAGAAAUGUUACUAAAUGAGCGAAACAUAAAUGUAUCUUAUGCAACGAAUCGAUAAGAUAUUUAAGCAGUAUAAUAAAACAAGUAGCAAUUAAAAUCAUUGUAUUAUGUGUAUCUUCAUCAUAUAUUUAAGAGUUAGACUCUUGUCGGUGGAGCGAUUUCCAUGUGUGUCGGUCCUCUGCCUUCUCCUUGACAGCCUGAUACGACACGACGAUGAAUUUUUCCUUUACUUGAUCUAUGUACGUUCUCCUUGGUCUCCCCCUCCGUCUCCUUGCCUCAACUCUCCCUUCAAUUAUGUUCUUGAUAUAUUCGUCGUGUCGUAGCAGGUGUCCAAGCAUCUUUCCUCUUCUAUUUUCUAUGUUUCUCAACAAACUCCUCUUCUUUCCUACCAUGCGUAAAACCUCUUCAUUUGUUUUCUUCUCCUUCCAGCUCACCUUUGCCAUUCGCCGCCAGCACCACAUCUCAAAAGCCAGCCUUUCCCUAUCACGUUGCCUGAUUGUCCACGUUUCGCUUCCGUAUAGUGCUAUGCUCCAGAUGUACACUUUUAUGAGCCUCUUGCGUAUAUUGCCUGAUAUUCGGGCUUUAAAUAGGCACUUUAUUGUGUUAAAAGCAUGUAAAAUCAUUGUAUAGGUGACACAGCUCAGUUAAGAAAGCACAUCAAAUAUUUUUUGUAGGUAUAGCAAUCUGUCAGACUUACAUAAUGUAUAUUCUCAUUUAUUUAUUAAUAUUAUUUUUCUUUUCCGUGUGUAAGAAAAGUUUUUUCUUAUUUAAUGCAUGUUAAUUAUAAGAUGUAAUGUUUUGAAAAGAUGUGUCCCGCCGAGUUUCUUGCCGGUCCCGAUUGGGAUACCCUCCUCCAAUUGAGGGGGGAUUUAAAUCUUCUCGGGUCAGAGGUGUAGGGUUAGAGCCGGUGUAGCUUUAUUUGACGUUCAUAAGCGCAUUGUAAUAUACCUACUUGAAUAAUAAACUAUCUUUAUCUCUUUAAAACAA
Long non-coding RNA from Cydia pomonella (codling moth), 4416 nucleotides. RefSeq lists it as uncharacterized. NCBI's taxonomy places the organism in Eukaryota, Metazoa, Arthropoda, Insecta, Lepidoptera, Tortricidae. The record is from RefSeq and is a predicted model, not a curated record. The transcript is spliced from 2 exons.